Long non-coding RNA from Oxyura jamaicensis (ruddy duck), 1300 nucleotides. RefSeq lists it as uncharacterized. The record is from RefSeq and is a predicted model, not a curated record. The transcript has 4 exons. Lineage: Eukaryota; Metazoa; Chordata; Aves; Anseriformes; Anatidae.
UUACACCUUCUUCCUCACUCUCCUCUGCAGCAUUUUGCUCUUUCUUAAACAAGUUUUCACAGAGGUGCCACCAGCUUUGCUGAUGGCUCAGCUGUGUCUUGUGGUGGGCCCACUGCAGAGCCGGCUGGACCCAGCUGUGUCUGGCAUCGCCUCACAGAGACCGGCCUGCAGCCCCCUCUGCAGCACCUUGCAAUAGACACCUGACACACAGCCAUGACAAAAAAUAGUUCAAAAAAGCUUCAUAAAAUAUUAUGGAGAGAACUCAAAGGUCAUCACAGAUGACCUCCAGGGUGACCAAUCUCAUCAGAAAUCAGGUGAGACAGUUAUUCUGACUUUGAUUGAAAGCAAUGAGAAAAGUUCAAGAUGUUUUAUGACUUGUGUGAUUGAGGCAAAGAAUCAUGGACAGAGGAGGAUUUCAAAGUAGAUCGCUCCUUGAGGUGCAAGCUGUCACUAUAGCUUACAUUAUACCUUCAAGCAUGGAUUCUGCUCUGCAAGCCAGACAUGUCGAAGGGACUCAAAGCAUGCUUGAAAUUACUUACCUGACUGCACUUUGUGUGAAGAACUCUAUCCUCUCAGCUGUUUUAGAUUAACAGUGAAUUACAGUUCACUUCAAUGCAAUUAGACCUAAUGAGGUGCGUAUGGAGGCUAUUGGGCCACCAUGUAACCACAUUAUAUGGACUUGCUAGUUGCCGUUUUAAUCAAUUGGUUUGACCUUUGAAUGCAAAGUACUACGAAGCACAAAGAAGUUCAUGGCCCAGAUACCUAUUUACUCAAAUGCAGGGAGAGAUGAUAAAAAAUUAGCCUCUGCUCAGGAAUAACUGUUUCUCUGGGUAAUCUUUACAAAAGAAAUCCUGUUUGCAAAAGGCUGGUCAUAUCAUAAGAGCAGUUAAAAUAUUGGCAUCCCUAUUUUACUUUCUCCUUCUAUGACCUGAUUUUAAACUUAUGUCUUGCAUCGUUGGCUAUUUAGGAACCAGGGUUAAAUUUCAAGAAACAAUUCCAUUUUAUCAGAUUGAGUUGUGGUAAUGAAAAUCAAACACAACCUCAUGUGAGACUGUUGAAAAUAGGCAGACUUCAUGUAAGGCAGCUUUGUUUAACUGUGUGUGUGCCAAAUUCUAAUUUACAGAAUUGAACUUUCAUAUGAAGUGGCUGUUCAGGGUGGGGAGUUAAAUGUAGAGUUAAAGCUGCGAGAGAUGAUGUUUUGUUUCUCAGGGAAACUUUCUGAGCAUAGCAAAAUGAAAAGCAGUAGGACUAUUUCUACAGGUUUUACAUACAUAUAAAUCUGUUGUUCCCUACAUAACCA